Molecule: ribosomal RNA, 253 nt
Filed under: uncultured bacterium
Lineage: Bacteria
Description: partial 16S ribosomal RNA
Rfam family: Bacterial small subunit ribosomal RNA
Source: RNAcentral
UACGGGGGGGGCAAGCGUUGUUCGGAAUUACCGGGCGUAAAGGGCUCGUAGGCGGCCAACUAAGUCAGACGUGAAAUCCCUCGGCUUAACCGGGGAACUGCGUCUGAUACUGGAUGGCUUGAAUCCGGGAGAGGGAUGCGGAAUUCCAGGUGUAGCGGUGAAAUGCGUAGAUAUCUGGAGGAACACCGGUGGCGAAGGCGGCAUCCUGGACCGGCAUUGACGCUGAGGAGCGAAAGCCAGGGGAGCAAACGGG